GCCUACGGGCGGCUGCAGUGGGGAAUCUUGCACAAUGGGCGAAAGCCUGAUGCAGCCAUGCCGCGUGAAUGAUGAAGGCCUUAGGGUUGUAAAAUUCUUUCGUCAGGGAUGAUAAUGACCGUACCUGAAGAAGAAGCCCCGGCUAACUUCGUGCCAGCAGCCGCGGUAAUACGAAGGGGGCUAGCGUUGUUCGGAAUUACUGGGCGUAAAGCGCACGUAGGCGGACUUUUAAGUCAGGUGUGAAAUCCCGGGGCUCAACCUCGGAACUGCAUUUGAAACUGGAAGUCUUGAGACCAGGAGAGGUUAGCGGAAUACCGAGUGUAGAGGUGAAAUUCGUAGAUAUUCGGUGGAACACCAGUGGCGAAGGCGGCUAACUGGACUGGUACUGACGCUGAGGUGCGAAAGUGUGGGGAGCAAACAGGAUUAGAUACCCCGGUAGUC
RNAcentral lists this ribosomal RNA (441 nucleotides) under uncultured Hyphomonas sp. RNAcentral's name for it is "bacterial SSU rRNA". It matches the Rfam family "Bacterial small subunit ribosomal RNA", at positions 337 to 795 of the family's 1533-position model. Lineage: Bacteria; Pseudomonadati; Pseudomonadota; Alphaproteobacteria; Hyphomonadales; Hyphomonadaceae. The record is from RNAcentral.